AUUGAUUGUCCUCAUCCUGCAACUGUACUUGCCCAACCGAUAUUUAUUGAUGCCUGCAGUGUCCUGGGUGCCUACCAAGGGGCACAGAACUGGAUCCGACGCAGACCCUGCCUGCCUUCAGGUUGCUUGAAGAUGAACAGAGAGAUCGGACCUCUGCAUGAAGCCAGACUGCUCAUCAUUCCAGACAUCUUCAGCUGCUACACCCAGAACAAGCAUUCGAAAUAUGAACAGGAUGGUGAGCCAGAUCUUUCCAAUCAUGGUGGAGUGGAUGUGAACUUCCUCCAGAGUAUCUCCAAGGAGAUUCCAGUCCCCCAUGUUUAUUUAGUCAGCCAUCUUAGCUCUGAUCCACAUCAAAUAAGAGGCAGAUAAAUUCUUCCAUUCUGAAGGGAGCACUAUUUCUUAAAGCAAACCUAUGGUGAAAAUAUAACAAUAUGUCACUUC
RNAcentral lists this long non-coding RNA (441 nucleotides) under Homo sapiens (human). RNAcentral's name for it is "HSALNT0291546". The record is from RNAcentral. Lineage: Eukaryota; Metazoa; Chordata; Mammalia; Primates; Hominidae.